Long non-coding RNA from Hyaena hyaena (striped hyena), 439 nucleotides. RefSeq lists it as uncharacterized. The transcript has 4 exons. The record is from RefSeq and is a predicted model, not a curated record. NCBI's taxonomy places the organism in Eukaryota, Metazoa, Chordata, Mammalia, Carnivora, Hyaenidae.
CUUUGUGGUGAGGGUUAAGAGCCACAAGGCCACAAAGUACUGAAUGCAGGGCUGGCACUUGGCGGACCAAAGCAAAAGCAUCCCAGUGAAGGCGCCCCCAGCUGUACGGGAGGCACAGGCGGUUUUAGGAGAGGGUCAGAUUUUCCUAGACGACUUCUAAGUUUGCAUUCUUCUUAAAAAGGGAGGUGCUGGAUGAGCCUCAUAGCCUUGGGUCCCCAAGCUCUGAAGCAGCAGGUCUAGGAGGGGAGGCUGACCGUCGUCAAAUAACUGUGCAUAUCCAUGUGUGAUGAUGAACUAUGCCAAGUGCCAUGCAAGGAAGCUCCGGGCUUUGACAGCAGAUUUCAUUUUGAUAAGAGAAUUCCAGCUUUGUUGCCAACCAACAUUUUAAGAAGUCACAUAAAGAAGCAAUGCCUUGAAAAUGCAUUUUCUUUGCAUGCUA